UACGUAGGGGGCAAGCGUUAUCCGGAAUUAUUGGGCGUAAAGAGUGCGUAAGUGGUUACCUAAGCGCAAGGUUUAAACUAUCGGCUUAACUGAUAAUUGCCUUGCGAACUGGGCCACUUGAGUGCAGGAGGGGAAAGCGGAAUUCCUAGUGUAGCGGUGAAAUGCGUAGAUAUUAGGAGGAACACCAGCGGCGAAGGCGGCUUUCUGGACUGUAACUGACACUGAGGCACGAAAGCGUGGGGAGCAAACA
RNAcentral lists this ribosomal RNA (250 nucleotides) under uncultured prokaryote. RNAcentral describes it as "partial 16S ribosomal RNA". It matches the Rfam family "Bacterial small subunit ribosomal RNA", at positions 524 to 774 of the family's 1533-position model. The record is from RNAcentral.